RNAcentral lists this long non-coding RNA (4356 nucleotides) under Ficedula albicollis (Collared flycatcher). Its description in RNAcentral is "lncRNA (ENSFALG00000026428.1)". The stretch from base 1218 to 1420 matches the Rfam family "Small nucleolar RNA SNORA74". The record is from RNAcentral. Lineage: Eukaryota; Metazoa; Chordata; Aves; Passeriformes; Muscicapidae.
AUGGAGGGAUUUUCCCCGCCCCGGGGGGAGCGGCCCAAGCCGCGGGGCGGUGCCUGUGGGGGGGGGGGGGGGGGGGGGGGGGGGGGGGGGGGGGGGGGGGGGGGGGGGGGGGGGGGGGGGGGGGGGGGGGGGGGGGGGGGGGGGGGGGGGGGGGGUCCCCGCGGCCGUGAGGGGAAGGAGCGGCUGUGGCCGCCUUCUCUGCCAUGCCUGCGUGAGGGGAGGGAGCGGCUGUGGGCUGUGGGCGGCCAUGGCCCUUCUCUGCCAUGCCUGCGUGAGGGGAAGGAGCGGCUGUGGGCGGCCAUGGGCCUUCUCUGCCAUGCCUGCGUGAGGGGAGGGAGCGGCUGUGGGCUGUGGGCGGCCAUGGCCCUUCUCUGCCAUCCCUGCCGUGAGGGGACGGGGCGGCUCAGGUCGAGCAUGCCUCUUUCCCCGCCGCCGUGAGGGGAAGGAGCGGCGCUGCGCGGGCCGGGCCGCCAUGCGGCGCCGCCGCCGCCAUGAGGUGAGGGGGGGACAGGGACGGGACGGGACGGGACGGGUGGCGGCGGCAGCGGGGCUGGACACCUGAAAUACUCUCUUUUUGUAAAUUCAGCUGUUUCUGCUGGCCGGCAAGCUCUGCAGCCCGCUGUACCCUGGGAUUGGGGGUGUUGCUCGGCUGUGCCUCAGCCUUUUGCUCGGUUUGCUGAUUUUUGUCCUGUGCCACAAGCCGUAUUGUUGCUGUUGAGCUGUAUGAAUGCAGAUGGAAUCAAUGGAUUGUUUGCGAUAUUUCUGCUGUCCUCUCUUUAGGCCUUCAGCCGAUGUGGAGGAUCACGGUGACGGAGCUGUGAGUGGUCGGGAGCAGCCCUGAGGUGACCCCCGAGCUGAGCUGUGCUAUGCUGGGACAGCCAAGGAGGGCACCGGGGCCUGCAGGGAGGAGAUGUGAAGAGAUAACCUGCCCGUGAGGCACAGGGAGAGCUCUGGAGCAACGUGGCUGAGGUGUGACCAUGAGCCAACCAGGGGAAAUGGGCAAAAGUGUUUAUUUUGCUGCCUUGAAUUAACUAAAAGGCCUCUGCUGGCUCCUGUGCUAGCCUCAGGUCCUCAGAGUGGAAAGAACAUGGUUUAUCCAGUGAUAGGUGUAGCUUAUCUACUGUCUUGCUGGAUGAAGCCUUAAUGAGAGGAGGCAUUGCCACAGAGGUGCCUCCUUUUUUCUGCCCUGUAAACCCCCUAGUUUUGUUAUUUUUUCUCCCAGCAGUAGUCAGCUGCCCGUGGCUGCUCAGUGCCUGUGCCAGUGUUAUGCUGCUGGGAGAGAAAGGUGCUGCUGAGCUCUCCUGGCACCAGUGGGGCCGUCCUGGCACUCGGUGGUGCCGGGUUUUGGCAGCACUCUGCAUGCCUGAGAGUGGAGUAACUCCUGCCCGUGGAGUUAGAGCCUAGAUUGGAUGCAGACAACACACAGAAAUUAAUCUGUUGCAGAUAUUUUAGUGUGCAUCUUUUGUAUAAAAAAUAAAUACCAGCUAAUUAACUGCUCUGUGCUAAUGGUUGAACGAGGCUCCUCCUUUCAACUGUCUUUAUUGGGUUUUAUUACAGGUGAAUUGGUGUGGGGCUUGCUGGAGCAGCAGGAGUGGUCAGAAGAAAAGCUGUCAGUGCUGCUUUGAAAGGUGUUGAGAUGAAAACCUGGAGCCCACUGCUUAAAUGGGGCACCUGGAGAAGAAUUUGUUUUCAGGAUGUAGAUGUAGGAAUUGGAAACAUCAAAGGGGAUUUGGGUCAAGAUGUAACAAGAAUUACAUAUACAAUUUAUUGUUAACCUCCUCUCACUGCUUGUUUAAAAUAUAUUUUUAUAUGACCUCAAUUAAACAUAUUUAUAUUUUAGCUUGCUCAGUUUGUUUAUCUUUAUCUUACAAGGCUGUUGGUGCAGCAGGAUUUGAGAGUGGUGAAUUCCUGUGGGAGACUGGACAGGCUGUAAGGAGGCACCAGCUCUCAUCCCUAGGCCUGGGGGGAAGUGAGCCCACAAAGGAAGGCUGGAAAAGGCUGAUGAAUAUGCAAAUACAUCAGAACUGGUGGGGAGGGGCAAGAUGACCGACAAGGUUUCAGACAAAAAUUGUGUUUAAAUUCAAAAGUUGGAACCAAAGGAGUUUGUUGCUCUCUCCAAGAUGAGAUUUGGAUUCCACACAGUCUUCUGGGAAACCCUGGGUUUGUGAAAUAAUCCUUAAAUGUCUUCAGACUCUGAAUGUUUAGCCACCUGAAUACCCAGAGCUUUGAAUGCACAGCUUUUGCCCGGCACAUGCAAUACUUGUUAAAGUAUUCAACAUUAGGGAAGAAACUUUUUCCUGCAAAGCUAAUCAAGGGUUUCCCUGUGGAUUUAUGUUAUGCCCAGCAAUUUUCCUCUUUUCCAAGCAGGUGCCACGGGGCUGGGUGCCUGCUGCCCUUAGGUGGGGGGUCCUGCCCGCUGGCAGCCAAGGAACACUCUCUGUGUCAGGAGGCUCUGCUGCUGGACCAGGUAUUCCCAAAAGUGGCAAAAAACAGGGAGUAUUGGGCUCUUUUCCCAGUAACCAUCUAACCCUGCCCUCUGGCAGUGGGAGCCAUUCCCUGUGUCCUGUCUCUCCAUCCCUGUGAAUCAUCUCCAUGUUUCCUGCAGCUCCUUCAAGGCCACACUGGGGUCACCCCAAAGCUUCUCCUGCCCAGGUGAACAGUCCCAGCUCUCCCAGCAGAGCUGCUCCAUCCUCUGCCCAUCCUGGAGCCUCCUCUGGCCUGGCUGCAGCAGCUCCAGCUCCUCCCUGUGCUGGGGCAGCUCUGCAGCUGGGCUCUCACCCGAGCACAGGGACAGAAUUCCCCCUCCCCUGCUGCCCACAGGGGGUUCUGGACUGGGGCAUGUCCAGCUUUCCAGCUUUGUGCACAACUGGAAAAUAAAAACUAGGGAUGUCCUGAAGGUUCUGCAGUGGCAGCACAGGUUUGUGGCUCUGGAGCUCGGGGUGUCACCUCUAGCAGGAAGGGGGCAGUCAGCACCGUGCAGCUCCUGCAGCACGAGGGUGACUGGUAAAGGUCAGAAUGAGUCACCUCAGCCCUGCUCUGGUGCCUUGAGCGAAGCACAGCAGAGGGAACUGGGAGAGAACCCCUGAGGUCCAAGACUGGCAGUGAAAUAAAGCCAGGAAAUGCAGCAGGAGCUGCAUUUGCACUCGGGAAAUGCCAACCUGAUUUAUGGUUCUGUUUAGGAGCACCGUACAUUUUGCAAUCUAUGUGUGACUUGUACCAGGAAAAGGUGGCUGAAUGGCUUUACAUUUGCUCUGCUUUUACUGCUCUGCAGCACCACAGCACAGGAGGAUUGUUAACUCAGGCUGAUGGGCUUGUUUUUGAGCUCUUAAUUGUUUUUUUACCCUGAGCUUGUUAAGAGCUGGAUUUCUUGUGAUUGUUCUCUGAGCAUUUCCGUAUUAUUUCAACACGUAUAUUGUACCACUUCCAUUUUUCUAAAAUACCGAAUGUGUAAUUGUUUCAUUGUGCUCUCCAGCCACUUACAGAGAAGAAAAAUCAGCCUGUGAUGAAUUGAAGAGGCAGAUUUUUCCUUUCUCCUGGAACUUUCCCUGAAUUCACACACACGCCCUCACCUUCGUAAAGCUGCUGGAACCCAGCGGUUUCCAUGCUAACGGAGAGACCGGUUCCUUAGCCACAAAAUUAAAUAGGGAAUAAAUUAAUAAUAGGGAAGAAAGAUGUUGACUGAGAAAGAAAUCCAGAUAAUGAAUAGUACUUGAGGGUUUGUGUGAGUACUUGGUCACAGCUCACGGAUUUCAGGAGAGCAGCAGCACAGGGACCUCUCCUCAUCCAGCACAAGGUGGCAAUGUUGGAUCAGAGGAACAGCGCAGCCUCGCACAUGGGCUGCAGGGCCUUUUUACCAGAAUCUUCCACCGAGCCGCACAGCCACCGAGAGCCCAGUUUUGAAUAUUUUAGCGAUGGUGACACUUGUGUUGUGCUCAAAGCAGCCUCGGGCUGGGUGCCCGUGAGCGUGCCCGGGGACACAGAGAGCAACGUGCUGGCCAGAGGAUACUCUAGGCGUCCCGGGCACCCGGGAUAGAUACCCCGGGGAUUCCCCGGGCACACCCCGGUGCCGCCCCCCGGAAGCGGCCGAGGGCAGCCGCGAACCCGCGAACCCCGCACUCCUCCCGAAGGGGGCGUGGCCUCCGCCGCGCCCCGCCCCCCGCGCCUUCCCAUGCUGCCCCGCGGGAGCGCAGACAAUGAGCGGGGCGCGGGCGGCGGGCUGGCGGCGCGCGGUGCAGCGGAGCUCUCGCGAGAGCAGGGUGAGCGGCCCGCACCUCUCGCGAGAGCCGGGGGGGGGGGGGGGGGGGGGGGGGGGGGGGGGGGGGGGGGGGGGGGGGGGGGGGGGGGGGGGGGGGGGGG